Molecule: ribosomal RNA, 407 nt
Filed under: bacterium enrichment culture clone ALO1_GLFRUDD03GDDDB
Lineage: Bacteria
Description: bacterial SSU rRNA
Rfam family: Bacterial small subunit ribosomal RNA
Source: RNAcentral
GAGUUUGAUCGUGGCUCAGAUUGAACGCUGGCGGCAUGCCUUACACAUGCAAGUCGAACGGCAGCACGGGAGCUUGCUCCUGGUGGCGAGUGGCGAACGGGUGAGUAAUGCAUCGGAACGUAUCCUGGAGUGGGGGAUAACGUAGCGAAAGUUACGCUAAUACCGCAUAUUCUGUGAGCAGGAAAGCGGGGGACCUUCGGGCCUCGCGCUCUUGGAGCGGCCGAUGUCGGAUUAGCUAGUUGGUGAGGUAAAGGCUCACCAAGGCGACGAUCCGUAGCAGGUCUGAGAGGAUGAUCUGCCACACUGGAACUGAGACACGGUCCAGACUCCUACGGGAGGCAGCAGUGGGGAACUUUGGACAAUGGGGGCAACCCUGAUCCAGCCAUGCCGCGUGAGUGAGAAGGCCU